AGCAAGGGAGUGAUAUCGUCUCACGGGAACUUAAUCGCACACGUGGCGAGACACCUCGUCGAGCCGAUGGACCCGUACGAGAUCUUCCUCUGCACCGUUCCGAUGUUCCACACGUUCGGUUUGUUGAACUACGUCAUGGCCACCGCAUCGUUAGGCUCCACGGUCGUGAUCCUCCGGAGAUUCGAGCUACACGAGAUGCUGGCGGCGGUUGUGAAGUACAGAGCCACGACGCUGGUUCUGGUGACGCCGGUUGUAGUAGCUAUGAUGAACGGAGCAGAUCUGAUCAAGGCGAAGUACGACCUGAGCUCACUGAGAAUAGUUAGGUGCGGUGGAGCUCCGUUGAGCAAGGAGGUUACGGAAGGGUUUAUAGAGAAGUAUCCAACGGUUGAUAUUUUUCAGGGUUACGCUUUGACGGAAUCUAACGGUGCAGGAGGUUCUAUUGAUACGGU
Molecule: long non-coding RNA, 449 nt
Filed under: Brassica rapa (field mustard)
Lineage: Eukaryota; Viridiplantae; Streptophyta; Magnoliopsida; Brassicales; Brassicaceae
Description: long non-coding RNA (BRAP_LNC006147)
Source: RNAcentral